UCCCCUACUAACGGCGAGUGAAGCGGGAAGAGCUCAAGCUUAAAAUCUCCGUGUAAAUUUUACAUGGCGAAUUGUAGUCUAUAGAGGCGUGGUCAGCAUGGGCACUUGGAGUAAGUUCCUUGGAAGAVGACAGCAUGGAGGGUGAUACUCCCGUUCAUCUCCGAAUUGCUCGUGCGUACGGSCCGUUUUCUUUGAGUCGCGUUGUUUGAGAAUGCAGCGCAAAGUAGGUGGUAAAUUCCAUCUAAAGCURRAUAUUGGUGCGAGACCGAUAGCAUACAAGUMCCGUGAGGGAAAGAUGAAAAGAACUUUGAAAAGAGAGUUWAAGAGUACCUGAAACUGCUGAAAGGGAACCAAAUCGUUUCCAGUGUCUAUAAUCUGUGGUAUAUUUCAUUGGCGAGUGUGCGCGUGCGAAUACUAUGGCAGUGGCUUUUUGCUGCGCUUGGUGCUUGUGUUGUGUGUGCUUGCUAGUGCCCUGUACUACGGUGGGACGUCAAGGUCAGUUCGUAUGCUGCGGGAAAUGGCUACUGAGGAGGUAGGGCUUACGCUUGCGUUUGUCUGUUAUAUCUUGGUGGACGAGUUGUCGCGGUUGGGACUGAGGUGCCUAUAACGUGCUUGUGAGUGGGAUUGCGUUUCUGUGUGCGCCGUGUGCGGAUAGCUUGCUAUGCGUGUGUGGCUGUAUAUGGAUUGAUGCGAGCCUUAACUUAUUGCCGUUCGGGACGUUGACGAAAUGGAGCGAUUUGA
RNAcentral lists this ribosomal RNA (741 nucleotides) under Plasmoverna pygmaea. Its description in RNAcentral is "LSU rRNA". It matches the Rfam family "Eukaryotic large subunit ribosomal RNA", at positions 76 to 647 of the family's 3401-position model. Lineage: Eukaryota; Oomycota; Peronosporomycetes; Peronosporales; Peronosporaceae. The record is from RNAcentral.